Molecule: ribosomal RNA, 784 nt
Filed under: uncultured bacterium
Lineage: Bacteria
Description: bacterial SSU rRNA
Rfam family: Bacterial small subunit ribosomal RNA
Source: RNAcentral
CAUUGGNUCAACCAAUGUAUGCUUUGGAAACUGUUAGACUUGAGUGCAGAAGGGGAGAGUGGANUUCCAUGUGUAGCGGUGAAAUGCGUAGAUAUAUGGAGGAACACCGGUGGCGAAAGCGGCUCUCUGNUCUGUCACUGACGCUGAGGCUCGAAAGCGUGGGUAGCGAACAGGAUUAGAUACCCUGGUAGUNCACGCCGUAAACGCUGAGUGCUAGGUGUUAGGUCCUUUCCGGGACUUAGUGCCGACGCUAACGCAUUAAGCACUCCGCCUGGGGAGUACGACCGCAAGGUUGAAACUCAAAGGAAUUGACGGGGGCCCGCACAAGCGGUGGAGCAUGUGGUUUAAUUCGAAGCAACGCGAAGAACCUUACCAGGUCUUGACAUCCCGAUGCCCGCUCUAGAGAUAGAGUUUUUCUUCGGAACAUCGGAGACAGGUGGUGCAUGGUUGUCGUCAGCUCGUGUCGUGAGAUGUUGGGUUAAGUCCCGCAACGAGCGCAACCCUUAUUGUUAGUUGCCAUCAUUAAGUUGGGCACUCUAGCGAGACUGCCGGUAAUAAACCGGAGGAAGGUGGGGAUGACGUCAAAUCAUCAUGCCCCUUAUGACCUGGGCUACACACGUGCUACAAUGGUUGGUACAACGAGUCGCAAGCCGGUGACGGCAAGCUAAUCUCUGAAAGCCAAUCUCAGUUCGGAUUGUAGGCUGCAACUCGCCUACAUGAAGUCGGAAUCGCUAGUAAUCGCGGAUCAGCACGCCGCGGUGAAUACGUUCCCGGGCCUUGUACA